UACAGAGGUGGCAAGCGUUGUUCGGAAUUACUGGGCGUAAAGGGCGCGUAGGCGGCCCGUCAAGUCCCAUGUGAAAGCCCCCGGCUCAACCGGGGAACGGCGCGGGAAACUAGCAGGCUUGAGUUCGGGAGAGGGAAGCGGAAUUCCGGGUGUAGCGGUGAAAUGCGCAGAUAUCCGGAGGAACACCGGUGGCGAAGGCGGCUUCCUGGACCGACACUGACGCUGAGGCGCGAAAGCUAGGGGAGCAAACGGG
Molecule: ribosomal RNA, 253 nt
Filed under: uncultured bacterium
Lineage: Bacteria
Description: partial 16S ribosomal RNA
Rfam family: Bacterial small subunit ribosomal RNA
Source: RNAcentral